GGAUGUGUGGCUCAGUGGUAGAGUGCUAGCCUCUCAUGCACAAGGCCCUGGGUUCAACCCUCAGCACAGCCA
Molecule: transfer RNA, 72 nt
Organism: Neotoma lepida (desert woodrat)
Lineage: Eukaryota; Metazoa; Chordata; Mammalia; Rodentia; Cricetidae
Rfam family: tRNA
About the family: Transfer RNA (tRNA) molecules are approximately 80 nucleotides in length.
Source: Rfam